RNAcentral lists this ribosomal RNA (496 nucleotides) under uncultured bacterium. RNAcentral describes it as "partial 16S ribosomal RNA". It matches the Rfam family "Bacterial small subunit ribosomal RNA", at positions 29 to 507 of the family's 1533-position model. The record is from RNAcentral.
AUGAACGCUGGCGGCGUGCCUAAUACAUGCAAGUCGAGCGAACGGACGAGAAGCUUGCUUCUCUGAUGUUAGCGGCGGACGGGUGAGUAACACGUGGAUAACCUACCUAUAAGACUAGGAUAACUUCGGGAAACCGGAGCUAAUACCGGAUAAUAUUUUGAACCGCAUGGUUCAAAAGUGAAAGACGGUCUUGCUGUCACUUAUAGAUGGAUCCGCGCUGCAUUAGCUAGUUGGUAAGGUAACGGCUUACCAAGGCAACGAUGCAUAGCCGACCUGAGAGGGUGAUCGGCCACACUGGAACUGAGACACGGUCCAGACUCCUACGGGAGGCAGCAGUAGGGAAUCUUCCGCAAUGGGCGAAAGCCUGACGGAGCAACGCCGCGUGAGUGAUGAAGGUCUUCGGAUCGUAAAACUCUGUUAUUAGGGAAGAACAUAUGUGUAAGUAACUGUGCACAUCUUGACGGUACCUAAUCAGAAAGCCACGGCUAACUACGUG